This 343-nucleotide long non-coding RNA is filed under the name Ananas comosus (pineapple). RNAcentral describes it as "long non-coding RNA (ACOM_LNC038353)". The record is from RNAcentral. Lineage: Eukaryota; Viridiplantae; Streptophyta; Magnoliopsida; Poales; Bromeliaceae.
AAAUUGUAAUAUUUAAUAUUAAAAUAGACCAUUUUAGUUGUAAUAAAAUGUCGCAUCUAAAUAAUCUAUCUAACCAAAUUAUAAUCUAUUCACAUUUCUUUCCCGGUAGUUAUGCUUUGCACUUCUAAAUCUUAAUUAUUGGUAUUCAAGUACUUUUUUUUUUUUUUGAGAGAUAGGUAGCACGCUACCCGCUUCGUUUAUUUCAUUUAGAAAUAAACUUAGCUGAAAAUGUGAAUCAACCAGGAUUCGAACUUGGCAGCUCGGGUACCAACCACUAAGCCCUUUGCCACUUGCUCUAGAGACAGUCGGUGUAUUCAAGUACAUAUUAAAACACAAAACUUUU